This is a long non-coding RNA of Ipomoea triloba (trilobed morning glory), 248 nucleotides long. RefSeq lists it as uncharacterized. The record is from RefSeq and is a predicted model, not a curated record. Lineage: Eukaryota; Viridiplantae; Streptophyta; Magnoliopsida; Solanales; Convolvulaceae. The transcript is spliced from 3 exons.
UCUCAUCCUCUUCUCGGCUAGUCGCCUACCGGUACCGCCAAGCCCCGUUUGGGGAGACACGAGGAGAAUUCUCAUGGCGGCAACUCUGCUCUCCAAGCCUACGCUUUCCUCUAUUUUCCUCGGCCAGCAAUUAUGCAAUAGAGGAAAUUCGAAGAGUUCUCCACAGUGUGGGUGGAUUCUCUCGAAGAGGUCUCAGUCGCGUGGGUUGAGCCUCAUGGUCCCCAGGUGUGCGGUGGAUACAGCGUCGU